GCACUUUCAGUCGUGAGGAAGGUGGUAGUGUUAAUAGCACUAUCAUUUGACGUUAGCGACAGAAGAAGCACCGGCUAACUCCGUGCCAGCAGCCGCGGUAAUACGGAGGGUGCGAGCGUUAAUCGGAAUUACUGGGCGUAAAGCGCAUGCAGGUGGUUUGUUAAAGUCAGAUGUGAAAAGCCCGGGCUCAAACCUCGGAAAUAGCAUUUGAAAACUGGCAAAACUAGAGUACUGUAGAGGGGGUAGAAUUUCAGGUGUAGCGGUGAAAAUGCGUAGAGAUCUGAAGGAAUACCGGUGGCGAAGGCGGCCCCCUGGACAGAUACUGACACUCAGAUGCGAAAGCGUGGGGAGCAAACAGGAUUAGAUACCCUGGUAG
RNAcentral lists this ribosomal RNA (376 nucleotides) under uncultured bacterium. RNAcentral describes it as "bacterial SSU rRNA". It matches the Rfam family "Bacterial small subunit ribosomal RNA", at positions 430 to 793 of the family's 1533-position model. The record is from RNAcentral.